CUCAGGAAGGACUCGGGGGGGCUCAGGAAGGACCCGGGGGGGCUCAGGUGGACACGAGGGACCCCCGGCCGGACCCCGGGGGGCGAUGUCACCGUGCCCAGGGUGGGGGGCACCCCCCCGAGAGGGUCCCCUCGCCCCCCGAGGAGCGGCGGAGUCCUUGGAGCUGAAGGAGGAGGAGGAGGAGGAGGAGGAGACACGCACAGACCGGGCCGGGUCACGCGUGGGGACACGAGGGACACGCGGGGGAGGUGACACGGCUUGGUCACCGCACCGGGACACGCUCAGCCCCGCACCCACCCCCCCACCCCCGGCAGGCGCUGAGCGAGGAGGAGGAUGAUGAUGAAGAUGAUGAUGAUGAUGCCCCAGAGGAAGCCGCCCGCUCCCCCCAUCCUUCCUUCCAGGUCCUUCCAGGUCCUUCCAGGUCCUUCCAGGACCCCAAGGAGUGAAUUUGGGGGCUCCUGGGGGGGGGCAGGGGCUGCCCGGUGCGUCCCCUCCGUGUCCCCCCCUGCGGGCUCCGCGUCCCUCGGGCUCCUCCGGGGAGGAUCCGCUCCCACCCCCGGGACCCCCGGGACCCCCGAGACCCCCGGGACCCCCGGCCCGGCCCCUCCGCCCCCCGCGGGUGACCUGAGGCCGCCUCAGGAGGACGUGGAGCCUCGGCCGGGUGUCCCCACGGACGUUUGGGACACGCGUGUGACACGUGUGUGUGUUCGGCACAGGAAAACCUCCACACUCAGGAUUUUGCCCCAUUUUUGGCUCGUCCCACCCAGCCCCGUGGCUCGGGACCUGCAGCGGGGACGUGUCCCCAGCCCUCGGGGGUGGCACUCGCACUUUGGCCACGUCGGUCACACUGAGGGGGGGGUGGGGACACAAUAAAGUCCCCAAAGGGAUGACGGUGGCUGUGUCCGUGCCUGGAGCUGCUGGGAGGGGUCCCAGGACCCCGGGAAGGAGCCCAAAGACCCCGGGAAGGAGCCCAAAGACCCCGGGAAGGAGCUCCAGAACCCCGGGAAGGAGCCCCAGAGCCCCGGGAAGGAGCUCCAGAACCCUGUAAGGAGCCCCAAAACCCAGGAAGGAUCUCCAGGCCCCGGGAAGGAGCCCCAAGACCCCGGGAAGGAGCCCCAAGACCCCGGGAAGGAGAGACCACGGUCCCUUUGUCCCCGGGCUGUCGCUGUCCCCAUCCUGGCCGCUCACCGGGACCCCCCGGUGGCACCGGCCCAGGGCGCUGCAAUUCCUGGGAAAGGGAAGUCCCGGUGGAUCAACAGCCCCGGGGCUUCCCCGUGGAGAGCAGCCAGGGCGGGAUGAUCCGGGAUUAUCCCCGCGGCCCCUCCGGCACCGGGGGCUGCAUCCCAAAACCCGGGGGUGGGAGAGGACGGUCCCAUCCCGGGAUGGAUCCGGCUCCUCCAGGAUUCCCCCCUGAACCUGGGGGUGUGUGGGACCCCAAACCUGGCGGGGACCCCCCGGUGCCAUCCCCAUCCCGGUUCCCCGUUCCCAUCCCAGAAAUAAA
Poecile atricapillus (Black-capped chickadee) is the source of this 1501-nucleotide RNA transcript. It is a transcript of the gene named nucleoplasmin-like protein NO29, with no coding region annotated. Lineage: Eukaryota; Metazoa; Chordata; Aves; Passeriformes; Paridae. The transcript is spliced from 2 exons. The record is from RefSeq and is a predicted model, not a curated record.